GACGAACGCUGGCGGCGUGCCUAAUACAUGCAAGUCGAACGAACGGAUUGAGGAGCUUGCUCUUCAUGAAGUUAGUGGCGGACGGGUGAGUAACACGUGGGUAACCUGCCCUUCAGUGGGGGAUAACCGUCGGAAACGGCGGCUAAUACCCCAUAAGCUCACGCGAGUUAGAGGGCGUGUGAGAAAAGCUCCGGCGCUCCGGGAGGGGCCUGCGGCCCAUCAGCUAGUUGGUAGGGUAAAGGCCUACCAAGGCGAAGACGGGGUAGGGGGCCUGAGAGGGUCGGUCCCCCACAUGGGAACUGAGACACGGUCCCA
RNAcentral lists this ribosomal RNA (315 nucleotides) under uncultured bacterium. RNAcentral describes it as "bacterial SSU rRNA". It matches the Rfam family "Bacterial small subunit ribosomal RNA", at positions 28 to 334 of the family's 1533-position model. The record is from RNAcentral.